GAGACACCCCUAUGGAGCAGGACUUGCUUCAGUGGGGCUUUGGCGCUCACUGAAUCUGCUACUUAAGUAUGUCACU
This is a non-coding RNA of Myotis davidii, 76 nucleotides long. Lineage: Eukaryota; Metazoa; Chordata; Mammalia; Chiroptera; Vespertilionidae. The record is from Rfam.